RNAcentral lists this ribosomal RNA (253 nucleotides) under uncultured bacterium. RNAcentral's name for it is "partial 16S ribosomal RNA". It matches the Rfam family "Bacterial small subunit ribosomal RNA", at positions 524 to 776 of the family's 1533-position model. The record is from RNAcentral.
UACGGAGGAUCCAAGCGUUAUCCGGAUUUAUUGGGUUUAAAGGGUGCGUAGGCGGCCUAUUAAGUCAGGGGUGAAAGACGGUAGCUCAACUAUCGCAGUGCCUUUGAUACUGAUGGGCUUGAAUGCAGCUGAGGUAGGCGGAAUGUGACAAGUAGCGGUGAAAUGCAUAGAUAUGUCACAGAACACCGAUUGCGAAGGCAGCUUACUAAAGUGUGAUUGACGCUGAGGCACGAAAGCGUGGGGAUCAAACAGG